GGGGAGGGGACGGCCCCGAUCCCGUGCUGGUUUACUCGGGAGUAAACAUCAGCUCCGCGCUCAUGUAAGCGUGCUUAGGGAUUGCAGAGACGUGCCAAGGAGUGCGUUACAGUGUUCUUCCGGCAGCCUAACAUUACAAGAAAAAUUGCUGUAUGGCUUCAGAAACUGAACCCGAGGGAAGUUAUUGUCCGCCGCGCACGGUGGUGGAUGGACUUUCUGCGGAACGCAGUGCGCUUAAAAUGGCCCGAGGCUGUGCGCGUCUAUUCGGGAGUAAGUCUCGCCGGAUCCGACGGGGUUUACUACGAGAUGGCUUUACAAAACGAGAUGUGACAUAUUCACAGAAGGCCAAAGAGCUCCGAGUUCUACUUCAGUGACCCUUCCAUCGUUUCAGCUUCUCCGAACCAGACGCCUCCUAUACAUUGCAAUCCCUUGUAGAGUAAAAGAAAUCAAUGAUUAGAGAACCAGCUGCCGUUUGCAGGGGUAAAUAUUAAUGGUGCGUCGCCCACUUCAAAGAAACGCUUCGUCAGUUUCCGGGGCACCGUAUCGUGGAAGAGGGCUUUCAUGCUACCUGAGUUGGAACUAACAGACUCGAUUGCAGCCGCUGAGCCAAUUUCCACUUAGCCAAUAGUGCCUUUCUUUUCUUAAGAUUUGGGUGGGUGUCAUUUUGUCUUAUCUCCCUCUGCAGCGAAGCCUCCUGCAGUGUCUGAAGCAAAAAUGCAUGUGAAAUCAUUACACCUUUUGAUUGCAGGCGCAGGUAUCGUUACCAGCCAGCUUUGCAAAGCCUUAUCUCUGUCUCCUCUCUGCCUUCUUUCCAUUGGGUUGGCAGAGGCCAGGAGAGGCGGGCACAAGUUACCAAGCCAGCUUCAGGUCUUAUCAGUUGGCCACGAAUAAGAUUCCAGGGAGCGGGGAGGGGGGGAGGGUUCACAGUUCACUUGCGAUAAGACCUUUUUCGAAAGCGCGUCCCAAGUCAUGCUGGCUGGAAAGGAAGCUGAACCAAAAGAUUAUCCAGCCCUUUUUUAGCGGCUGCAUUGAACAGAAGCCAAAUCACACCGCCAGGUGAGUAACACGAUAUGCCGAGUGCUGGUUUUAUCGUGUGUUGACCUUUAAAGGAGCGUCUCCACCCCCAUCGUUCAGCCCGGACACUGAGGUCCAGCACCGAGGGCCUUCUGGCGGUUCCCUCCCUGCGAGAAGUGAAGUUAUAGGGAACCAGGCAGAGGGCCUUCUCGGUAGUGGCACCCACCCUGUGGAACGCCCUUCUAUCAGAUGUCAAAUAAAUAACUAUUUAGAAGACAUCUGAAGGCAGCUCUGUUUAGGGAAGCCUUUAAAUGUUUAACAUUUUAUGUUUUUAUAUAUGUUGGAAGCAGCCCAGUGUGGGUCGGACAACCUGUCAGAUGGGUUGGGUAUAAAUAAUAAUUUAAUGUUAUAAUUGUUGAUAUAGUUAAAGCUAUGGUAUAGUUAAAGCUAUGGUUUUCCCAGUAGUGAUAUAUGGAAGUGAGAGCUGGACCAUCAAGAAGGCUGAUCACCGAAGAAUUGAUGCUUUUGAAUUAUGGUGCUGGAGGAGACUCUUGAGAGUCCCAUGGACUGCAAGAAGAUCAAACCUAUCCAUUCUGAAGGAAAUCAGCCCUGAGUGCUCACUGGAAGGGCAGAUCGUGAAGCUGAGGAUCCAAUACUUUGGCCACCUCAUGAGAAGAGAAGACUCCCUGGAAAAGACCCUGAUGUUGGGAAAGAUUGAGGGCACUAGGAGAAGGGGACAACAGAGGACGAGAUGGUUGCACAGUGUUCUCGAAGCUACGAACAUGAGUCUGACCAAACUGCGGGAGGCAGUGGAAGACAGGAGUGCCUGGCGUGCUAUGGUCCAUAGGGUCACGAAGAGUCGGACACAACUAAAUGACUAAACAACAACAACAACAAUUGUUGAUAUUAUUAUGAAUAAUAAAACUUGUUUAUUUGAUUUUCAGAUCAAAGUUUUACAAUCACAUAUCCAAUACACAACAUAAAAAAACAAGAUUCCAAGGAAUCUCCUGGGCUUCCCUCCUCCCCUUUGUGGGCCUUAUUGUUAAUCAUUUCCUCCUGCAUCUUCUAUGAUAAUCCAAAUCUUUUACAUCUCCAUUAUGUCCAAAAUCACCAGUGUUAUUCCAGUCCUGCUAACAGUUUUAACUGUUUACAAUGGUUUUAAAGAUAAAUUAUAAAAUUUCCCCAUUCCUUAUUAAAAUUUUGGUCUUCCUGACUUCUGAUUCUUCUGGUCAUUCUAGCUGUUUCAGCAUACUCCAUUAACUUAAUCUGCCAUUCUUCUCUGAUAGGAACGUUAUCUUCUUUCCAUCUCUGGUCGCAGCCGUGGUCACAUACAUAAAUAGCUUUUCUGCUUCCUUUGUGAUUUCAACACCUAGGAUUCCUAAAAGAAUAAAAUUAUUAUUAUUAUUAUUAAUUAUUAUUCUUCACAUUGAAGGGGGUUGGGCGAUGAGCCUCGUUGGAUCGGGCCAAUGGCCUGCCUGGUCAUAGAAUCAUAGAAUUGUAGAGUUGGA
Molecule: non-coding RNA, 2522 nt
Organism: Zootoca vivipara (common lizard)
Lineage: Eukaryota; Metazoa; Chordata; Lepidosauria; Squamata; Lacertidae
Source: RefSeq, a predicted model, not a curated record